ACCAAAAUAUUGAUGCUACAUGAAAAUAAAUAGUACAAUAAUAAUUAGCACUACAGAAUUACAGAAGAAUCAUACAAAAAAUUAAGUGAAACAAAUAUUUGUUACAUUUUGUGAUUUAAAUA
This is a long non-coding RNA of Sinocyclocheilus rhinocerous, 122 nucleotides long. RefSeq lists it as uncharacterized. The record is from RefSeq and is a predicted model, not a curated record. The transcript has 3 exons. NCBI's taxonomy places the organism in Eukaryota, Metazoa, Chordata, Actinopteri, Cypriniformes, Cyprinidae.